AUUCCAGCUCCAAUAGCGUAUACUAAAGUUGUUGCAGUUAAAAAGCUCGUAGUUGAAUUUCUGGUCGUGGCAACCGGUCCGCCCCUCACGGGGUGUGCACCAGGUUUCUGCGGCCAUCCUCGGGGAGAGCACAUCGGGCAUUCAGUUGUCUGGUGUGGGAUCCUCGUCAUUUACUGUGAGCAAAAUAGAGUGUUCAAAGCAGGCUUAGGCCGUUGAAUACAUUAGCAUGGAAUAAUAAGAUAGGACCUUGGUCUAUUUUGUUGGUUUGCAUUCCAAGGUAAUGAUUAACAGGGACAGUCAGGGGCACUCGUAUUCCGCCGAGUGAGGUGAAAUUCUCAGACCAGCGGAAGACGAACCACUGCGAAAGCAUUUGCCAGGGAUGUUUUCAUCG
Molecule: ribosomal RNA, 391 nt
Filed under: Chrysophyceae sp.
Lineage: Eukaryota; Chrysophyceae
Description: partial small subunit ribosomal RNA
Rfam family: Eukaryotic small subunit ribosomal RNA
Source: RNAcentral